GUCAGCGUAAGCCUAAUUUGGUAAGGCAGAGGAUUGCUAAUCCUUGAGUAGUCGUUUUUAACGGUGUGUUGGUUCAAGUCCAAUCGCUGACG
This 92-nucleotide transfer RNA is filed under the name Caudoviricetes sp. RNAcentral's name for it is "tRNA-Ser". It matches the Rfam family "tRNA". From Rfam's summary of the family: Transfer RNA (tRNA) molecules are approximately 80 nucleotides in length. Their secondary structure includes four short double-helical elements and three loops (D, anti-codon, and T loops). Further hydrogen bonds mediate the characteristic L-shaped molecular structure. tRNAs have two regions of fundamental functional importance: the anti-codon, which is responsible for specific mRNA codon recognition, and the 3' end, to which the tRNAs corresponding amino acid is attached (by aminoacyl-tRNA synthetases). tRNAs cope with the degeneracy of the genetic code in two manners: having more than one tRNA (with a specific anti-codon) for a particular amino acid; and 'wobble' base-pairing, i.e. permitting non-standard base-pairing at the 3rd anti-codon position. Lineage: Duplodnaviria; Heunggongvirae; Uroviricota; Caudoviricetes. The record is from RNAcentral.